CAGCAGCCACGGUAAUACGAAGGGUGCAAGCGUUACUCGGAAUUACUGGGCGUAAAGCGUGCGUAGGUGGUUGUUUAAGUCUGCUGUGAAAGCCCUGGGCUCAACCUGGGAAUUGCAGUGGAUACUGGGCAACUAGAGUAAGGUAGAGGAUAGUGGAAUUUCCGGUGUAGCAGUGAAAUGCGUAGAGAUCGGAAGGAACAUCUGUGGCGAAGGCGACUAUCUGGGCCAUUACUGACACUGAGGCACGAAAGCGUGGGGAGCAAACAGGAUUAGAGACCCGAGUAGUCCCUGUCUCUUAUAU
Molecule: ribosomal RNA, 301 nt
Filed under: uncultured bacterium
Lineage: Bacteria
Description: partial 16S ribosomal RNA
Rfam family: Bacterial small subunit ribosomal RNA
Source: RNAcentral